RNAcentral lists this ribosomal RNA (586 nucleotides) under uncultured eukaryote. RNAcentral's name for it is "SSU rRNA". It matches the Rfam family "Eukaryotic small subunit ribosomal RNA", at positions 586 to 1187 of the family's 1831-position model. The record is from RNAcentral.
UCCAGCUMCAAUAGCGUAUAUUAAAGUUGUUGCAGUUAAAAAGCUAGUAGUUGGAUUUCGGAAGGUCCUUAGCAAUCCGYCCCUUYGGGGAGCGGGUUGCUGGCCUCCUAUGUUCCUAACGGCCCUCAUCCGCGAGGGUGGGGAAUCAACCGCUAGGAUCGUUUACUUUGAGGAAAUUAGAGUGUUCAAAGCAGGCGUAACUCGCCUCCGAAUACGUUAGCAUGGGAUAAUGGAAUACGACUUCGGUCUUGUUUCGUUGGUUUCGCUUGGCYGAAGUAAUGAUUGAUAGGGACAGUUGGGGGCAUUAGUAUUUAGUUGUCAGAGGUGAAAUUCUAGGAUUUACUAAAGACUGACCAAUGCGAAAGCAUUUGCCAAGGAUGUUUUCAUUAAUCAAGAACGAAAGUAGGGGGAUYGAAGACGAUCAGAUACCGUYGUAGUYUYUACCGUAAACUAUGCCGACCAGGGAUCCGGAGAGUUUGCAUGGAUGACUCCCCGGGCACCUUGUGAGAAAUCAUAAGUGUUUGGGUUUUGGGGGGAGUAUGGUCGCAAGGCUGAAACUAAAGAAUGACGAACGAKCCCCMUGGKC